Molecule: long non-coding RNA, 1295 nt
Filed under: Olea europaea (common olive)
Lineage: Eukaryota; Viridiplantae; Streptophyta; Magnoliopsida; Lamiales; Oleaceae
Description: long non-coding RNA (OEUR_LNC012456)
Source: RNAcentral
UCGCUAUUUAAAAGGAGAAUCCAAAUUUUAGGCCAUUGCCGAAGACUUGUUUGAUACUCUUAGAUGAGCCAGAUUUGAGUGUUAUUUUUUAUGAUAAUGAAGAAGCUGAUGUUGAAGAAAAUGAAGUUUAAACAAUUAAGGAUUAAAUAAAAUGCUUAGUAAUGGAUUGUUCCAACUUACCAUAGAGGAAGAUUGACGAAUUUAACAAUAUUUUUAGUGGGGGUAUUUUUGGCUAGUCCUUGAGAUGAUUUUUUUUUACGUAUAUACACAGCAAUUGCUAUAACUUUUCUUUCUAUUCAUCUUUCGUUGCAGCACACGAGUUAUUGAAAUGCCUAGCAAUCAUUGGUUGUCUACUCCAUUGCCUAGGCAAAAAAAAAUACUGACGAAGAAAUGCGAAUAAAAACUUAUUUUCACAUAUUACACUCUCAAUCUCUAUUACAAAUUUCACAUAUAUCCCCCUUUGUUCAUUAGUACUUAUAUUUCUUAUACAGCUAAUACAGCAUGCACAGUAAGGAACAAGGACUCAAAAGGAUAAAGGGGGCAGAAAUAUUGGGAAAUUCAUAUUAAUACAAAUUUAAGGUCCACACACUCUUAACAAACAUGGAGCAACAAAAAUAAAAUUUGACUCCGUGAAAUAGCUGCUUAGGUGUUUGAACAAAUACUUAGUAAGCAGGCAAGCUCAUGGACAUGACUAUGGAUUGCAUCAUUGAUGCUAGUACAUUUUUUUCCCUAUAGUUAUGCCUGUUCACCAUCACAAAUGAUCCAGAACCUGUUUAGCUAUAAAUCUCAAUCAGCAGUCAAGCUUUGUGCACAUCAAGUUGAUACAUGUUACAAUCAAGAUACAUAGCCUCACCAAAUAUUAUGGGUCUACCGUAAUUACCACACUUCCAUUUUUGGCAACAAAAAAGAGAGAGAGAAAGAGAACACAAAUAGUAUUAAGUGUUAACACAAAACUGUAGAUACUUUGGCCACUGUAAGUAAAAAAGUAUUAUUGCUAUUAUUGAGCGCAGGGAAACAAGUACAAGCAAUCAAUUUGAAAAGGAGAAUCAUUACAACUAAUUAUACAAGUGAUAAAAUUUGAAUACUAUUACCUACGCUACAUCUCAUGAUCAAACCCACUUAAAUAAUACUAACAUAUUCAGAGGAUGGCUUAAUUAAAUAUGUGUGUGCGCACGCGCGUGCGCUCAGUGAAAUUCCUUUUACUAACACCCACUGCACCAUUUAUCUUAGAUACCAUAUUGUGUGCUUUUUCUAUGUCAAUUUAAUUCAUACGCAAAUGUUGUUUCGUUUCUCCA